AUCCUCCAUUGUUAUUGUGUUUUAAACGUUUGCAUUACUUAAAAAUGAUAUGUCAAAAUUGUAUGUAUUAAUAGAGUAAUUUCAUUAUGGAGAAACAUAUUUCUGUAAAAUUAAAAGUUCAUUCAAGGUGUUUGUUAAUUGUCCCCUACCGGUUUCACCGGAGCCUCCCGGGACUUAUGGUUUGCGCUCUGUCUGUCAGUCUUUCUGUCUGUCUGUCCGUCACACUUUUCUGGAUCCUGCGAUAACUUUAAAAGUUCUUCAUACUUUUUCAUGAAACUUGAAGCAUGGAUAGAUGGCAAUAUGGACAUUAUGCACGUCAUUUCAUUUUGUUCCUACGUUAAAAAUUCUGGUUGCUAUAGCAACAAAUAGACUAGAAAUACUGCUGAAAAUGGUGGUUUUCUGGAUCCUGCGAUAACUUUAAAAGUUCUUCAUAUUUUUUCAUGAAACUUCAAACAUGGAUAAAUGGCAAUAUGAACAUUAUGCAUGUCAUUUCAUUUUGUUCCUACGUCAAAAAAUCUGGUUGCUAUGGCAACAAAUAUUUUUUUUGUAAAUCUGACAAAUGUGGAAUUUCUGACAAUGGUGGAGCCGGUAGAGGAAAAAAUAUGCUUGGCAAUAGUCUUGUUCUCCAUAAUUGUUGGCAAUUUUUGAAUUGUUGUUCUGUUUUAAAAGAAUAGUUUUAUUUAAAGUUGUCCUCAAACAUAUGUGUGUAACAGAUUAUUUAUUAGUUAAAAUUGUUUAAAGCAGAAAUCGCAUUUAUUACUGUUAUUGCCUUUAUGAUAAACUCUGUAAAAAGGCUAAUUACUGUAAUGCUAUGUGUAUCCAUACUAAUUGAACAGAUUAUACAUUUAUUAUUUCAUGUUGUGUUGAGAGUUAUUUAGCUUUGUACAAAAACAAUAUGCAUACCUGCAGUGUAGAUAUUAUGAAUGAACAUUAAUAUUUUUGUUUUCAGCUGUUGUGUAUGUAAUGUUUAUUAUUAUGUACAAUCAAUAAAUGGUUGUUUGCUCAUUUGAUGCAAAGUUCAUCAAUUAGUUCUCUAUGCGCAUGCUGUGUAGCCUUCUAUGAACUAAAGAUCAACAUUUCAGACACAUUAAACUAAAUUUGUGAAAAAACUAACAAUUUCAGCAAUAUGAUUUGUGUCAUGUUGAUUGAAUUCUCUGAGCUUGCCCUAUCAGGCUAUCUGUGUAUAUAAUAUGGUAUCAGACAUAUGUCAAAGUUACCAAGUUAGCAUGUGCAAGAGUCUGGUUCUGGGAAAAUGGCACUUAAUGCAUGUGCAUACAGUGUCCUCCCAAUUUAUCCUUUGUGGACAACAUGUUCCAGUUUCAUGGUAUUUUUCUUUUAACAGAAGUCUCUGCUUAGCAAAAAUCCAGUUUAGACAGAAAAUGUUGUCCCUGAUUAGCCUGUGCAGACUGCACUUGCUUAUCUUUAAGGACACUUAACACACAUCCAGUAAGCCUGGUUUUAAGGACACUUAACACACAUCCAGUAAGCCUGGUUUUGCUAAUCUUUAAGGACACUUAACACACAUCCAGUAAGCCUGGUUUUGCUAAUUUUUAAGGACACUUAACACACAUCCAGUAAGCCUGGUUUUGCUAAUCUUUAAGGACACUUAACACACAUCCAGUAAGCCUGGUUUUGCUAAUCUUUAAGGACACUUAACACACAUCCAGUAAGCCAGGUUUUGCUAAUCUUUAAGGACACUUAACACACAUCCAGUAAGCCUGGUUUUGCUAAUCUUUAAGGACACUUAACACACAUCCAGUAAGCCUGGUUUUGCUAAUCUUUAAGGACACUUAACACACAUCCAGAAAGCCUGGUUUUGCUAAUCUUUAAGGACACUUAACACACAUCCAGAAAGCCUGGUUUUGCUAAUCUUUAAGGACACUUAACACACAUCCAGUAAGCCAGGUUUUGCUA
Dreissena polymorpha is the source of this 1914-nucleotide long non-coding RNA. RefSeq lists it as uncharacterized. The transcript is spliced from 3 exons. The record is from RefSeq and is a predicted model, not a curated record. NCBI's taxonomy places the organism in Eukaryota, Metazoa, Mollusca, Bivalvia, Myida, Dreissenidae.